Molecule: unclassified non-coding RNA, 255 nt
Filed under: Hevea brasiliensis (rubber tree)
Lineage: Eukaryota; Viridiplantae; Streptophyta; Magnoliopsida; Malpighiales; Euphorbiaceae
Source: RNAcentral
GCUUUUCAAGUGUAAAUUGUAAUCUAUGAAGUCAAAAUAAAGCCUCGUAUUCUCAUUAUCUGUGAUAAGUAUAAACAUUAUAUCCGAGCAGUUCGCAUUAAUCAGAAACUAUGGCAAUUAGAAAAAUAAUUGAAGGCCACAUUAACACCAAGUUCUCUCUUGUUUGUCUUCACAGUUUAUCUGCAGCAUCGUUUACAAAAAUUUAGCCACCUCCGGAUUUGAGUGUAUUACUCAACCAGUCCAAGCCCUCAAAGA